This 410-nucleotide unclassified non-coding RNA is filed under the name Hevea brasiliensis (rubber tree). The record is from RNAcentral. Lineage: Eukaryota; Viridiplantae; Streptophyta; Magnoliopsida; Malpighiales; Euphorbiaceae.
AUCAGCAACAAGCAAAGUCCUAUCGUAUCGAAUCAGAAUAUCCUUAAUCUCCUUCUUCGUCUGCUCAUCAACGUACUUCUGGUAGAAAGCAACAAGAGCCUUUGCAAUUGACUGACGGAUAGCGUAGAUCUGAGAAGUAUGACCUCCUCCUUUGACUCGGAUUCUCAUGUCAACUCCGGCGAAUCGUUGACGACCUAGAAGGAGGAUUGGCUCGAAAGCUUUGUACCGGAGAAUCUCCGGCUGAACAAGCUCGAUAGGAACUCCGUUGAUUUUGAUCAAACCACGACCACGCUUGCAGUGUGUCACCGCCACCGCCGUCUUCUUCCGCCCGAAACAUUGCACGGACUCCACUGUCGCCGGUGCCGCCUGCAUUUCUCCUGCUUUGAUUAUUUUGCUUAGUCUGAUGGCCA